Molecule: ribosomal RNA, 459 nt
Filed under: Salmonella enterica subsp. enterica serovar 4,[5],12:i:-
Lineage: Bacteria; Pseudomonadati; Pseudomonadota; Gammaproteobacteria; Enterobacterales; Enterobacteriaceae
Description: bacterial SSU rRNA
Rfam family: Bacterial small subunit ribosomal RNA
Source: RNAcentral
AAAUUGAAGAGUUUGAUCAUGGCUCAGAUUGAACGCUGGCGGCAGGCCUAACACAUGCAAGUCGAACGGUAACAGGAAGCAGCUUGCUGCUUUGCUGACGAGUGGCGGACGGGUGAGUAAUGUCUGGGAAACUGCCUGAUGGAGGGGGAUAACUACUGGAAACGGUGGCUAAUACCGCAUAACGUCGCAAGACCAAAGAGGGGGACCUUCGGGCCUCUUGCCAUCAGAUGUGCCCAGAUGGGAUUAGCUUGUUGGUGAGGUAACGGCUCACCAAGGCGACGAUCCCUAGCUGGUCUGAGAGGAUGACCAGCCACACUGGAACUGAGAAACGGUCCAGACUCCUACGGGAGGCAGCAGUGGGGAAUAUUGCACAAUGGGCGCAAGCCUGAUGCAGCCAUGCCGCGUGUAUGAAGAAGGCCUUCGGGUUGUAAAGUACUUUCAGCGGGGAGGAAGGUGUUG